UGAGGAAUAUUGGUCAAUGGGCUUACGCCUGAACCAGCCAAGUCGCGUGAGGGAAGACUGCCCUAUGGGUUGUAAACCUCUUUUGUCAGGGAGCAACAACAUCUACGAGUAGGUGUUACGAGAGUACCUGAAGAAAAAG
Molecule: ribosomal RNA, 139 nt
Filed under: uncultured bacterium
Lineage: Bacteria
Description: partial 16S ribosomal RNA
Rfam family: Bacterial small subunit ribosomal RNA
Source: RNAcentral